CAGGUGGAACGGUGAAACAGCGACACCAUGUGGCGGAUAAAUAACAGCAGCAGAUAUCUGAAGACACUGAAGGAGCAACGGUGAAGAAAAGGAGGAGAUUCCCUCACUGGAGGCUAAAAUGCAGUCUGCUCAGCAACUUGAUGGAAGAAGAAGAAAAAGGUCAAAGGUGGAACGGUGUAACAGCGACACCAUGUGGCGGACAAAUAACAGGUAUUUUGUACAUUACAUGUAAAUCUGACUUUAUCUUUCAGUUUACAUGCCAAAACAGGACUUUUGAAAUUGUUUCAACCUUCCAGAUAUUCACAUCUAUUAAAGGACUUUUUAGAGGCUACAAACAUCAAGAAAAGUUCAAUUUUGUCAGAAUUCACUGGGGUGUUUAAACUAUUAGUUGCAACCAAUAUUAUCAUUGGUUGAUGUCAGCUUCCAUCACUCUGUUGCAGUCUGGCAGAGAUUUGCAAAACAUGACAGGAUAUUUGUCUAGUAUUUUCUUCUCUACUUUACAUUUCUGAUCCCAUUGAGGGAACAGUUUUAGACCUCACCCAAAACACAAACUGCUCAUUAAAACGGUGUCUUUUUCAGAUCAAAGAAACAUUUAUUUGUUGUCUUCCCCACCAACAGCUGCUCAGUUAAACAUGUGGUCAGUGUUUAGCAUUUUAGGUUGUCUGCAGGUUUGUUGUGAAACCUGUUGUCAGGUUUUUGUCUCUGAUGAAGGUUCUCCUUCAGGAGCCAGAGCUGGGCUUACCGCAGUCUAUCUCCUGCUGAAGCUGCUGGUUUAUUAUACCCACUGAGGAAUUGAAUGUCAUGAAGGUAAGCUCCAGCGGUUAGAGGAAUAAUUUCUGAGUAUUUCUUGUUCACAUGGCUGUUCUUAUCAUAUGUAGUAUUUUCUGUAGCUCUGACUGCUGUCAUAGUGUUCUCAGGUUCAUCUGAUAAACCUGAAGGCUGGUUUGGGGAAUUAGCUUUGAGCUCUGUCUCUCUGAUAGAUGUGUUUAAGGACCCUCCUGUUCAUGUGGCCAAUGGCUGCAAAUGGCCUCCACCUGUUGGCUGCAUUUAUGCCCUGAAUCUGAGUUCAGUUUAAGAAGGCUGCUUGGAUUAUUUGAAGGCAAUGGAAAAACUCAAACAUUUUUACAUUCAAGUAAAAGAUUUCUAGAAACAGACUUUAUCGUUGGAGACUUUCCUUCUUAGGACAGGAAGUGUUCCUCCAUUGGGGCUGUCUUUCCAGAUGCCUGAUGAAAUGGACAACCAGCUCUUUUUCAGUCUGUUAGAAGUUCCCAGGGUGCAAUAUUUCUGUCCACCCUGCUCUUUGAGAUGGUUGACAGAGUACUGAUCUCCACCAGGGCUUUGACCAUCUGAAGGACAUGCUGGUGUCCUGGCUGACCAUCAGGAC
Molecule: long non-coding RNA, 1384 nt
Organism: Oryzias melastigma (Indian medaka)
Lineage: Eukaryota; Metazoa; Chordata; Actinopteri; Beloniformes; Adrianichthyidae
Exons: 3
Source: RefSeq, a predicted model, not a curated record